AGUUAGGUCCAGGUUAGUAAG
RNAcentral lists this unclassified non-coding RNA (21 nucleotides) under Mus musculus (house mouse). RNAcentral describes it as "oocyte_clustered_small_RNA13102". The record is from RNAcentral. Lineage: Eukaryota; Metazoa; Chordata; Mammalia; Rodentia; Muridae.